This 497-nucleotide ribosomal RNA is filed under the name uncultured bacterium. RNAcentral describes it as "partial 16S ribosomal RNA". It matches the Rfam family "Bacterial small subunit ribosomal RNA", at positions 28 to 507 of the family's 1533-position model. The record is from RNAcentral.
GAUGAACGCUGGCGGCGUGCCUAAUACAUGCAAGUCGAGCGAACGGACGAGAAGCUUGCUUGUCUGAUGUUAGCGGCGGACGGGUGAGUAACACGAGGAUAACCGACCUAUAAGACUGGGAUAACUUCGGGAAACCGGAGCUAAUACCGGACAAUAUUUUGAACCGCAGGGUUCAAAGGAGAAAGACGGUCUUGCUGUCACUAAUAGAGGGAUCCGCGCUGCAUUAGCUAGUUGGUAAGGUAACGGCUUACCAAGGCAACGAUGCAUAGCCGACCUGAGAGGGUGAUCGGCCACACUGGAACUGAGACACGGUCCAGACUCCUACGGGAGGCAGCAGUAGGGAAUCUUCCGCAAAGGGCGAAAGCCUGACGGAGCAACGCCGCGUGAGUGAUGAAGGUCUUCGGAUCGUAAAGCUCUGCUAGUUGGGAGGAACAGAUGUGUGAGUAACUGUGGACGUCUUGACGGUACCUAAUCAGAAAGCCACGGCUAACUACGUG